Molecule: ribosomal RNA, 253 nt
Filed under: uncultured bacterium
Lineage: Bacteria
Description: partial 16S ribosomal RNA
Rfam family: Bacterial small subunit ribosomal RNA
Source: RNAcentral
UACGAAGGGGGCUAGCGUUGCUCGGAAUCACUGGGCGUAAAGCGCACGUAGGCGGCUUCUUAAGUCAGGGGUGAAAUCCUGGAGCUCAACUCCAGAACUGCCUUUGAUACUGAGGAGCUUGAGUUCGGGAGAGGGAUGCGGAAUUCCAGGUGUAGCGGUGAAAUGCGUAGAUAUCUGGAGGAACACCGGUGGCGAAGGCGGCAUCCUGGACCGACACUGACGCUGAGGAGCGAAAGCCAGGGGAGCAAACGGG